Gossypium arboreum is the source of this 230-nucleotide long non-coding RNA. RefSeq lists it as uncharacterized. The transcript is spliced from 2 exons. The record is from RefSeq and is a predicted model, not a curated record. NCBI's taxonomy places the organism in Eukaryota, Viridiplantae, Streptophyta, Magnoliopsida, Malvales, Malvaceae.
GACACGAAACAAAGGUUGAGAAUGUCGAAGAUAAGGCUUUAUAGGAUACAAAGAUCUUGCGGGUCGGAUUCUUGGUGAUGAAUCUGGUGGAUUCCACUUUCUUGAUUUCGAUUUCUUCUUGAGUAAACAAUUAACUCCUUUGUUUGUUCUUUAUUUUCAUGAUCAGACUCUACACCUUCAUCCUCCUUUUCAUUAACAUUAACAUCAUUAAUUUUUGUGUUAAUUAUAAA